This 750-nucleotide ribosomal RNA is filed under the name uncultured bacterium. RNAcentral's name for it is "bacterial SSU rRNA". It matches the Rfam family "Bacterial small subunit ribosomal RNA", at positions 64 to 826 of the family's 1533-position model. The record is from RNAcentral.
UAGCGGAAGUUUUCGGAUGGAAGCGGAUAUGACUUAGCGGCGGACGGGUGAGUAACGCGUGGAUAACCUGCCUCAUACAGGGGGAUAACAGUUAGAAAUGACUGCUAAUACCGCAUAAGCGCACAGGACCGCAUGGUCCGGUGUGAAAAACUCCGGUGGUAUGGGAUGGAUCCGCGUCUGAUUAGCUGGUUGGUGAGGUAACGGCCCACCAAGGCGACGAUCAGUAGCCGACCUGAGAGGGUGGCCGGCCACAUUGGGACUGAGACACGGCCCAAACUCCUACGGGAGGCAGCAGUGGGGAAUAUUGCACAAUGGGGGAAACCCUGAUGCAGCAACGCCGCGUGAGUGAAGAAGUAUUUCGGUAUGUAAAGCUCUAUCAGCAGGGAAGAAGAAAGACGGUACCUGACUAAGAAGCCCCGGCUAACUACGUGCCAGCAGCCGCGGUAAUACGUAGGGGGCAAGCGUUAUCCGGAUUUACUGGGUGUAAAGGGAGCGUAGACGGCUGUGCAAGUCUGAAGUGAAAGCCCGUGGGUCAACCGCGGAACUGCUUUGGAAACUGUAUAGCUUGAGUACUGGAGAGGCAGGCGGAAUUCCUAGUGUAGCGGUGAAAUGCGUAGAUAUUAGGAGGAACACCAGUGGCGAAGGCGGCCUGCUGGACAGAAACUGACGUUGAGGCUCGAAAGCGUGGGGAGCAAACAGGAUUAGAUACCCUGGUAGUCCACGCGGUAAACGAUGAAUGCUAGGUGUUGG